AAUUUCUUAAGCAUUAAAAAUAUAUCCCAUUGAAAAUAUUUUCUCAAAUAAAUGCAUAGCUAAAUGAAAAUUAGCAGUUGUUCACAUUAAUAACAUUCAAGAUCAGCGGGCGUGAAAAGCUCAGAAAUAGUCUCUUCAGUAGCAAAAUGAGCAUCUAAAUCUAUCUCCUAUGUCAUUGCACUCCUUUUCAUCAUUAAUAAAAAGCAUAAUAUAAUCCUUAACACAAUGCAAAACAAAUCAUAUUAAACUUGGAAACAGUCUUUGCCUAGCGCCAAGACUCUUGCUGUCUUGCGCAAGCAAGGUGCGGCCAUGAGGGGGGGACGGGACUGUAAAACAUGAUCAUAACAGGGAUAAAAUUGA
Molecule: unclassified non-coding RNA, 360 nt
Filed under: Hevea brasiliensis (rubber tree)
Lineage: Eukaryota; Viridiplantae; Streptophyta; Magnoliopsida; Malpighiales; Euphorbiaceae
Source: RNAcentral